UCCCUGGUGGCCUAGUGGGUUAAGGAUCUGGCAUUGUCACUGCUGUGGCAUGGGUUUGAUCCCCAGCCAAGGAA
RNAcentral lists this transfer RNA (74 nucleotides) under Sus scrofa (pig). It matches the Rfam family "tRNA". Rfam says of the family: Transfer RNA (tRNA) molecules are approximately 80 nucleotides in length. Their secondary structure includes four short double-helical elements and three loops (D, anti-codon, and T loops). The record is from Rfam by way of RNAcentral. Lineage: Eukaryota; Metazoa; Chordata; Mammalia; Artiodactyla; Suidae.